This 395-nucleotide ribosomal RNA is filed under the name uncultured bacterium. Its description in RNAcentral is "bacterial SSU rRNA". It matches the Rfam family "Bacterial small subunit ribosomal RNA", at positions 28 to 408 of the family's 1533-position model. The record is from RNAcentral.
GACGAACGCUGGCGGCGUGCUUAACACAUGCAAGUCGAGCGCUGAUGCCCUUUUUGGGGGUGGAUGAGCGGCGAACGGGUGAGUAACACGUGGGUGACCUGCCCUCAGCUCUGGGAUAAGCCUGGGAAACUGGGUCUAAUACCGGAUAUGACCUUUUGUUGCAUGACGAGGGGUGGAAAGUUCUCGGGCCUUUGGUCUGGGUUCGGCUGGGGAUGGGCCCGCGGCCUAUCAGCUUGNGGUUGGGGUGAUGGCUUACCAAGGCGACGACGGGUAGCCGGCCUGAGAGGGCGACCGGCCACACUGGGACUGAGACACGGCCCAGACUCCUACGGGAGGCAGCAGUGGGGAAUAUUGCGCAAUGGGCGGAAGCCUGAGCAGCGACGCCGCGUGGGGAU